CAAAAAGCCUGCGGCGCUCGGAGAAGCCUGGUCCUGGGGACCUCUUUCCAUUCUACUCUCAGGACAGGAGGACGGGGCUGGGGAAUUCUUUUUGGUUUUCUGCUUUUGUUUUGCUCUGGUUUUGGUAGGUUUUGUAUCUUCCUGUGUUUUUUUUUUUCUUCCCCCCCCCUUUUUUCCUUCUUUUUCUUUUUUUGCCUUUUCUUUCCUGUCAUUCUCCCCAGCCAAAAGCCGCCUUCGACCCUUUUGAUUUGAUGUAGCAAAGAGUGUGUCCAGAUUAUCUGAAAUUGACCCUGAAGAAGCUACACAGAUGGCCAGGCAGGGUCCAGAAGAGGGCCAGAAAGGAAGAAACGUCCCAGAAUCCCAAGAUGGGCGGCCUGGCAGACCGCGUGUGGCUCAGACCUGGUGCCUUUUUGCAGAGGCCGCAGAAUGAGGACAGCAGACAUACAAGGACCUUGACUCGGCGCACGGACAGGGAAAAAGGAGACAGACUGACAGAACAGAGAAAGAGCUUUUGCUUUUUCUACAUUGUGUGUGUGUGUGUGUGUGUGUGUGUGUGUGUGUGUAUUUUUCCUGAUAGUCCCACAAAGCUGAGGAUCGGGUGGGGUCCAGCAGGUUUGUCUUGCUGCUUCUGCUGUAGGGUGGCAGUGCCUUAUGCUUUGAGGUCACUCUGUUGUGACCAUGGCCCAGGUCCAGGCCAAGAGCACAGGAGCUGGGAAAUCCACCAGGCCAGACCUGCGCAGAGGAGGCAGCUAGCCUGCAGCCAUCACAGUUCCAUCUUUCCCUCGGAGCCCUCCUCCUCCAGGCCCAGGGCACACAGACGGGGUAUAAACCUGAAGGCAGGAGGGGCCGGGCCAAAGGAGCCAGGAGGAGGUGGGUGGGCAAGAACUGACAGCCUCACAUGAGCUGAGGCUGCUGCAUAGCUUCUUGGUGUGCGGAAGGGUACCACGAGGUGUAGCUGGGGAUAUAGGAGCCCGCGCUGCUGCCUGAGCCCUUUCCGGAGGAGGAGUUCGGGUUCCAGCCAGGCGGUACCGGCGGGGAGCUGGCGGACAGAGCCCGGCCGUUUGCAAGCGCACUGCCCUCCAAAGCCGCCCCGCCUUGCUUCAUCAGUUUCUUGAACUUGGAGCGCUUGUUCUGGAACCAGAUCUUGACCUGCAAGAUCGGACAACAACGUGACUGGGCUGCGAUCAUUGAGCCCACCACCCGGGUCUCAAGGAGGAAAGGACGGCUGUAGAGAAAAGUAGGAGUCCUCGCUGACCGCUGACCGCCCGGCCCCAGCUAACAGCUCCAUGCUGGAGGAGCAGAGGGACCCAAGCCAAGGGCUAGAAAGUUGGACACCCCCUGCCAGUGGCUGACAGGGGCAGUUCCCAGCGAGCCCCCCCCCCGGGGGGAGGAGUGACAAGAGACCCAGGAGUUCCUAGGCCUGGGCCCACUAGCAGGUCAGAAGACGAGGCGCCAGCACAACACUACACAAUUCCAGUGCCGUAACAAUAAAGGAAUCAAAACCCUGGAUAGGAGUGAAGGACAUGUAUUUGCCAUUCAACUGCCUUCUCUUUACACCGUCCUUUCUGCUCUCCAGUGAGUUACGGAUUGGCUGUGGAAGCCACAACAUUUUGUUAAACUUUUCUUUGGACUCAAGCCAACUUUUCCCCCUUAGGUCUGUUUGCUUUGUGAAGCUACGGGCGGGACGUUUGGAAAUUCACCGAGCAGCGGUCGGAACACCUACAACUCCCUAGAGUUUUAGAGAAAUUCAAGGAGGAAAAUCUCGUUUCUUCUCCAAGGUCUGGGACUUGGGAGGCGAGAGUAGAAGCCAGUUUGCCCGGAGCUGCCCGGUAAGGAGGAGGAGAGCAGGAGCCAGAGGCCCAGGCCCCGAGUGAUUACCCACACACUUUAAAGGCAAAGGCGGGAUUAAGUCCCUCUUCCAUUGUUCCAGUUGUUCGGCACGUGUGACCUCAGAAUCCCCAAACAAAAAGUCCCAGGAAAACCUCCCUGAGCCCUAAUCAGACCGUGUAGAGACCAAACUGCAGACGGGCCAGGGGAUUGGUAGGGACCAGCUAGAGUAGACAGCACGAGGGAAGAAGGGGAGACCCUGAAAGUGGGGUGGGAAACACACCCUGUCACUGACACCCCAAACCGUAGGCCCAGUGAAUGAAGCCCAGGCUUCUGCCGGGUAAAGGCCGCUGGGCACAGCGGCGCUGGCUAGAGGUACCUGAGUCUGUGUGAGUCCCAGGGAGGCCGCGAGCUCCGCCCUCUCAGGCAAGGCUAAGUACUGAGUUUGCUGGAACCGCCGGUUCAAAGCCUGCAGCUGCAAGCUGGAAUAAAUUGUCCUGGGUUUGCGGAUCUUUUUCCCCUUGCCAUUGAAGCGCACUUCACCGCCUUCCACCACCGUGCUCUUCUCGGAGUCGGCCCCUGCAGGGACAAGCAGAAGAGGGGGCUGUCGUUAGAACUUGGGGUUGUCAUUAGUGCGGAGAGGUGAGGGCGAGCGGCCGCGGGCGGGUGGACGGGCUGAAGCAGGGCCCGACCAAGAAGGUUCAAGAAAGUCUGAAAGCCUGGGAAGUGAUCCCUCCACGUCCGAGGGCCACCCUAGCUGCUUGCAGGCGGGAUGGGGCCAUUCCUAAGAGCACAGCUAUUGCCUUUGCAGGGAAAGUUUGCUAUUUUUUGCAGGCGGUAGUUGAGGUUUAAUUACCCUUAAUUGCGUACAUUGUUUAUAGCGCUACGCAAUAAAUAAUUACCGAGACUAA
Molecule: long non-coding RNA, 2738 nt
Organism: Jaculus jaculus (lesser Egyptian jerboa)
Lineage: Eukaryota; Metazoa; Chordata; Mammalia; Rodentia; Dipodidae
Exons: 2
Source: RefSeq, a predicted model, not a curated record